ACCCUCAACUGGAAUGCGAGUCGUGCGAUCCCCCGUGGCCGAGGAGACCGAUCGACCCUCCAGCCAGCCCCUCUCGAGGAG
RNAcentral lists this ribosomal RNA (81 nucleotides) under Dyera costulata. RNAcentral describes it as "partial 26S ribosomal RNA". The record is from RNAcentral. Lineage: Eukaryota; Viridiplantae; Streptophyta; Magnoliopsida; Gentianales; Apocynaceae.